GCCUGGGUGGCUCAGUAGGUUAAGCAUCUGACUUUGGCUCAGGUCAUGAUCUCACAGUUCAUGGGUUCGAGCCCCACAUCUGGCU
RNAcentral lists this transfer RNA (85 nucleotides) under Felis catus (domestic cat). It matches the Rfam family "tRNA". From Rfam's summary of the family: Transfer RNA (tRNA) molecules are approximately 80 nucleotides in length. Their secondary structure includes four short double-helical elements and three loops (D, anti-codon, and T loops). The record is from Rfam by way of RNAcentral. Lineage: Eukaryota; Metazoa; Chordata; Mammalia; Carnivora; Felidae.